RNAcentral lists this ribosomal RNA (497 nucleotides) under uncultured bacterium. RNAcentral's name for it is "partial 16S ribosomal RNA". It matches the Rfam family "Bacterial small subunit ribosomal RNA", at positions 28 to 507 of the family's 1533-position model. The record is from RNAcentral.
GACGAACGCUGGCGGCGUGCCUAAUACAUGCAAGUAGAACGCUGAAGAGAGGAGCUUACUCUUCUUGGAUGAGUUGCGAACGGGUGAGUAACGCGUAGGUAACCUGCCUUGUAGCGGGGGAUAACUAUUGGAAACGAUAGCUAAUACCGCAUAACAAUGGAUGACACAUGUCAUUUAUUUGAAAGGGGCAAUUGCUCCACUACAAGAUGGACCUGCGUUGUAUUAGCUAGUAGGUGAGGUAAUGGCUCACCUAGGCGACGAUACAUAGCCGACCUGAGAGGGUGAUCGGCCACACUGGGACUGAGACACGGCCCAGACUCCUACGGGAGGCAGCAGGAGGGAAUCUUCGGCAAUGGGGGCAACCCUGACCGAGCAACGCCGCGUGAGGGAAGAAGGUUUUCGGAUCGUAAAGCUCUGUUGUAAGUCAAGAACGGGUGUGAGAGUGGAAAGUUCACACUGUGACGGUAGCUUACCAGAAAGGGACGGCUAACUACGUG